GGCCGUGUGGUCUAGUCGUAUGAUACCUCCUUCGGGCUUCCCCGAGCUUCGAAAGCUCUCUAUGGAGGUGGUCCUGGGUUCAAUUCCCAGCUCGGCCC
Asterophora parasitica is the source of this 98-nucleotide non-coding RNA. NCBI's taxonomy places the organism in Eukaryota, Fungi, Basidiomycota, Agaricomycetes, Agaricales, Lyophyllaceae. The record is from the annotation of a GenBank genome assembly.